GAACCGGUGCUGAGCAGUGGCCGUUCGCCCCGCCCCACGUUUUGUGACUGAGUUUCAGGCUUCCGUCGUCGCAAAUUACCCGCUCCAGGUUCAGGUCUGACGCCGUGCACUGACUCAGACUUCGGUGAAGUGCCGAGCCACAGGAGGGAUGCAAAUGGCAAUCCAAAAUUAAAAAUGUUGAGACUGCCAGGAUAUGUGGAUAUCUAGAUCAGCGCUGCCAAGCUCGUUCUAAAACAAUCUUAUGCAGGACAAAAAUAGUUGUCAGCUUGAAAUUUCUCUUGCCUGAGAUUUUUGUUUAUAUCCACAUAUGAUGGAAGAGAGAAGAGCAGGAGUGAUUUCCUGACUUACCGUUAGAAGACAGUAAUAAUAAAUUUGAUGGAAAUUUACAAUUCACGUUAUGGAUGCCAAGAUGAUAUCCCUAAGCAAAAUCAUGGAAGGCCAAGUAUGUCUCACAGAUUAUAGAUAAUGAUGUUUGCUAAAUUGGAUUGUUUUCUUUGACCUUUUCACUAUCUCUCUUUCCCUUUUCAGGAGACCCCAUAGGCACAGAGGUAUAAAGACAUGUUUUAGUACUCUCCUAGUAUUUUGGCCCUCUCCUGCUUAGAGAGUGGGAUGGGAGGAGGAUCAGUAUAAAUUCACAUUCUAGUGACGAUGUCUUAUCUUUCCUAGUGUGUUCACAUUUAAAAGGAUCAAAAGAAAAGGGCAAGGCUUAACAGAAGGAAUUAUUCUCUCCUGGUGUAAUUUUGGGACUGACCUCUAGGUUGAAGGAGGCAAGAACUUGGUGUCUCUCAGAUUUACACACACUGUUUAAUCCACUUACUUACAAGCAUAGGCAUGCACGACAAAGUAAGUUUAUUUCAGUAAGAAAAUACAUAUCUAGAUUUUAGUCCCCUCCAUAUUUUUAAAUAAAAUAGAAGUCUAUUAAUGAUAGUUGAUAAUAAUUAUAUAGACCUCUCCCUUUUCUUCCUUUUCUUGGUGAAUAAGAUAUAGACACAGAUAUUCCAUGUAUUUAGAAGCUUUCAACAGCCAUCUGAAAAUCCUCAAAGAAAAAUAAUUUAAAACUGAAGCUUCUCUAUCUGCUUUCACACAACAACAGAUACAGUCUGUCAUUAUAAAAUCUGAGUCUUGAAAUAUCCAGUUUGGUAGUCUUCACUGAUUAUAUUAGUAACAUAGAUAUUGAGUUUUUCUAUACAGUGGAUGCAGAUUCUGGUUUUUCUAGGCUUGGGGGACUAUAUAAAGGUGAACUCUACAUGACACCAAAAUUGAUAGUGUCAUGUUUUAAAAAAUCAAUAAAAUUGAGGGUUCUAUUUAGCCAAAAUAUAUGAUUGGAAUUUUCCUAUUUUAUGUGAGCACUUUGACUUUGUCUAGCCAUAGCCUUAAACUUUUGCUCCGUAAAUUAACAAUUAUCUGAUAGUCUAUUCCUCAAUGGCCCAAAGUCAGACAACGGAAGCACUAAAUUGAAAGCACUAAUUGAAACUAAAUUGAAAGCAUAGAAAUUAAAGUAAAGCCUUUGUUUUUAUUCAAUAGUUGGAUUUUAUUAUCUGUCUUGUAUUGUGCAUCUUUCUUUAUCCUCCUCCAUUAUUUCCUCCUAAUAAGAGUUCAUGUGCAAUGAGCUUGGUUCCUUUUUCUCUUCAGAACUUAGAAGCUAAGACUAUAAUAAUUGAAAUACCUUAACUAAAUAAAUUAUGUUUCAAAAUCUAUGGCCAGAGUGUACUUCUGAAGGCAAAACUAGAAAAUAUUCACGGUUUGUCAAAAUUUUAAUAUCAAAUGAGAGUUGUAAAACAUAUAUAUGCAUACUGUAUAUAUAUAGUAUAUAUAUAUUUAUCUGUUCUAUCCGACAAAUAUUACAGAAAAUUACUAAGUUUAAAAGAACCUGCUAGAAUGCAGUUUCAUGGCAAAAUUUUUACUCUUUUCUGAAGUAGCAAGCUGUGACUAAAAGAAUCUAAGUUUUCCAUCAUUGCUCACUCGCAGACAGUAGAAUUAGAUGAUGAGGUCUAUCAUCUGUGGUCCUUGACCCGGCUCUCUCCGUGUCUCUUGUGAGAAAAAUGUUUCCUCAUGUACUCUAACCAACAGUCAUGACCAAGGCCUUAGUUUCCACAAAUGCCAGGAAACCAUCAAGUGCUGCCUGUAAGAGGUAUAUGACCAGUUGCAAUCAACAGUCUGUUUCCCUUUCACAGCUACUGAAAAGCCGAGACCCAUUUUAAAUUUCCAAAUUACAUGCCAUCCUACUAAACAUGACAUAUUUCAUAAAUUAUUCAUUGAUCAAUGGUAGCAAAAUCUCGUAAAGUAGUAUUAGACACCAGACAUCACAAAGCAGAACAUUACCACAAUUGGAACAUUUAAGUUAUGCUUUCCUCUGUGAGAAAAACCCAUGGAAGGCAAAACUAAAAAAAAACCCACACUAACCCCAAAGUAAAAUAUCAAGCUGAGUGAGGUAGGCAUCUUGUAUUGGCUGAAUGAAUGAAUGAGUAAGUGAAUGAUAGCAAGCCAUAUAAAAAACACAAACUAAAUUGUGAAAGGCUAUUGUAAACUGGAAUGAAUUAGGAAAGUGUUAGUUAAAUUAAGGAAGUUUUAUCCAGGGACUGUUUAAGAAACAUCCCUGUACUUUUGUAGAUACCUUUCAAUGUAGAUUUAAAAAAAAUUCUACCUUGGAAAUAACAGAUAGUAGUCAAUGUCUUUAGCUGGAUGUAUUCUUUGUUAUCUGUUCUCAUGUUCCCUCCUGUGCUUUUCUACAGCUUCCCCUCCUGCAAGGCCUAAACUGCAAAAAUCUUUGUCUCUUGUGGUUUCUUCCAAGAGACGAAGGUGACUAUCUUGGGAAUGAGUAUGGUGUGCAGAGAUCUCUAGGGUAACCCACUCCAGACACAUUCGUUUACCCCUCUAACCUGCUCUUUGUUGCAUGCUAACUUUGGGUCUUCCCUUGGGAACACACAAGUUAUCCUCUGUUGGUGCUGAUUUCCUGGAUAAACUACGAGAACACAAUAGAAAAAAGUUUUCAUGUGAGAGAAAGGAAGAAAUAUUACUGUAAGUGGGGAAUAAGUUCUGAUGUCUGAUGGAGCAGAGUUGAGUGGAACAAAAUGAGAAGGACAAAUGGAAUACCGAAAUAGACUAACUCUCGCCCUUCUGAAAUCUCGGAAAACUCCCUCUUCUCUCCAGCAGACCUUGCCCGUUAACACCAAAGAUGGGGGCUUAUUUGAUAAGAUCCAAAUGAACCUUAAAACGUGGGAAGAGUUUCUCUAAGGAGCGUGCGGGAGGCCCUGGGACUGGCUGGGGCGUAAGCAGAGGGCCCUCUCUCGGGUUCGGUGCUGCAGGUCCGUUCACCACGUGCAACACCGUCAUCUGGGGCUGCACAACCCGAAAGACUAGACCGGGCAACGCGCGGCGUGGAGCCGCUCCCCUUCCUGCGCGACCCGACCGGUCUUCCGUACCCCGCCUCCUGAACCCCGCGGACGAGGCUUGCCCGCCGGUCACGCCACCAGCCUGCGCACUCUAACCCCGCUCCCGAGGCGGCUGCCAGGUUGCCAGCCCCGCUGUGGCGCCCGCGCUCCUCCGCAGCUUGGGGAAGAAGUAGCCCAAUGGCCAUGGGGUAGUUGGCUUGAGACGCAGCGAGUUAGGUACACCUAGGAGCUAGCAGGCUGACACACGUGAGCCGGGUGACCCUACGCAGCGCUAUCUCCAGGCCAGGCUUCCGCUCUCCCUGGGUAUCUCGGAGGCCCCGACUCUGCUUCUACCUGGCGGACUAACUCCCCCCGGAAGAGCGAUCUGCUCUGAGGAGGAAAAGCCCCGCAGAGAUCGCCCAAGUCCUGCUUACAACCUCAAAUCAUCUCUCCCCUCAGCUGCCUAAGGGCACUCCGAGGAAUCAAAGGAGCGGCAGUGACGGCGGUCUGGAAACGUAGAUAGGGUGGAAGGGAAGAGGAGAUGAGAAAGGAGGGGGAGAGAGAGCUAAUGAGAAAACUCAGACAGAAAAUUUAAAACUUGGCUUUAAAAAAUCCUGCAAAAUUUGCACCUGUACCCAACUGAACCUCCUCUGAGUUUCCUGUAAAAUAAAGAACUUUCUUCUAAUUGUCCUUGGGGACAAAAGGCUGGCCAGUCUUCCUAACAAGGUGUUAUCAUGGUCUCAAGACACUAAACGUUGCUAAAUCAAACUCUGGAGAUAAUAAUUCGAAUGUCCAUCACGUCUGCCUCUCUAAACGUGUCCAGUUUUCCAGAUCACUGUCUUCCUCCCAGCAGGGGUUGUCUGUAUAUAUGUAUAUACACAUACAAACAUAUAUAUAGUGCAAAUAUGUAUAUAUACUAGACAUAUACAUAUACGUAUAUACAUACAUAAAUUACAUAUGACAUUAAUUUGGGGUUUAUGGUGGCAGUUGGGGGGAGCGUGUGAGAUCUGAUUCUUCUGAAAAAAUAACUGUUCAGUUAUGGGCAGGGAAUAGGGACGCACUUUGAUGCCUAAUGAGAAAUGCUAGCCUAGUAAACAGAAGCAGAAGGUAAACAGAAACUAAAUGAGGAGAAAGAAGGAGAUUUUUGUUUUUUCUCCAGGUACAGACUGGAGGCUCCUCUUUGGGACCAGGACAAACUGGAAACAAGAUGCCUGUCCAUGCACCAGCCUCCGGAUAGCCUACCCCCCCAGGAAUCGCCAUUCCUCAUACCCAGGAGAGGGGUGCGUGUGUGCGCGCCGUGUAGACCGCAUCUCCACCCAACCCGCCGGGCUGUUUCGAGGGACAGUAGGGUCCCGGGGGCCGGGGCUCCGGACGGUGCGCCUGUGGCCCAGGAAAUAGCCGGCUGUCCCUCCCGGGUCUCCCACCGCCCGCUUAGGACGGGUUUUGGAGGAGAGCGAGCA
This is a non-coding RNA of Equus caballus (horse), 4831 nucleotides long. NCBI's taxonomy places the organism in Eukaryota, Metazoa, Chordata, Mammalia, Perissodactyla, Equidae. The record is from RefSeq and is a predicted model, not a curated record.